GGACCUCUGGUGGUUACUGUGGUAUUACACUCCAAUAUAAAGUGAAAGUUCAGUUCUUGAGCAAAGUGAAACGAUCUAGCAGCAGCUUAUUACAAGAAUGUACUCUUCCUAAUAUAUACAUGAAAACAAAUGGGCUGCUGUGUUGGGGAUAUCCCUGUAGAUAAGGAAGCACAUUUAGAACAUUCAGGUGUGGUCUUAAUUUUCUUACCUGAGGAGGAUAUGGAAGAGGUUGGAGGUGGCCCCAUAGCUCUUGUGACUUCUACUAAAAUAAAAAGAUUUAUCAAGGCCAACAGGGAGGAUACCACGAUACAUCUUGAUGGAUUUCUAUGGCCACACCAAGGAGCAACCACUCCUCCCCACCGCUGCCACUGUCUCUUUUAGGCAACCCAUGGGAGGAUGAGACAGGGACUGAUUCAGAUGUCCCUGAUACCUAAGCUGAGAGUUAUGAAUCAGUGGCCACAGAUCCUGCCUCAGCCAUUUCGCCAGCAAUGGCAGAUAAUGAGGUGGCUGAAGCAGAAUAUGAAAAUCGGAGGACACAGACCGACCCCAUUAAACCCCAUUUAUUUUCCCGACUGGCUGAGAGCUUUGAUAAUGUUGUUGGGAACAUCAGGGACAUACAGGAGGCACUACAAAGCUUUUUUUUAUUUUGCUUUAUACCUUUUUAUUUCAAUAUUUUAAAAAUACGUUAACUGUUUAUAAUUAAAAAAAACAUUGCUUUAUUCAAAAAUUGCAA
Molecule: long non-coding RNA, 733 nt
Organism: Bombina bombina (fire-bellied toad)
Lineage: Eukaryota; Metazoa; Chordata; Amphibia; Anura; Bombinatoridae
Exons: 5
Source: RefSeq, a predicted model, not a curated record